ACCGGGAUGAGUACCGACCAGUCACAAUGCACAGAAGCACAUGCAUUGGAAUAAGAUUAAUUAUAAAGGUGUACCCUCCCCACGAGCAAACCAUGUAGAAGUAUGCCAAGGCAUUUAAAGUCGCAUAAAAGAGGGAUCCUGUAUUCAAUGUCUUUAUAUAAAGAUAGAAAGUGAAUAUUAAAGCAAAUAUAGCUACAGCUUCAUUAUCAUAGCUGCCAGCCACUGAUCGAGAUAUAUAUGAUGGAACCAUGGCCAAAAGAGCCGCUGCAGUCAGACCAGCGCCAGCACCUUUAACUUCCUUGGUCAAAAGAUAAGUGGCCCAUGAAGCAAA
This 331-nucleotide unclassified non-coding RNA is filed under the name Hevea brasiliensis (rubber tree). The record is from RNAcentral. Lineage: Eukaryota; Viridiplantae; Streptophyta; Magnoliopsida; Malpighiales; Euphorbiaceae.